AACCCAAACUAAUUAUCUUCGGCGUAAAACGUGUCAACUAUAAAUAAAUAAAUAGAAUUAAAAUCCAACUUAUAUGUGAAAAUUCAUUGUUAGGACCUAAACUCAAUAACGAAAGUAAUUCUAGUCAUUUAUAAUACACGACAGCUAAGACCCAAACUGGGAUUAGAUACCCCACUAUGCUUAGCCAUAAACCUAAAUAAUUAAAUUUAACAAAACUAUUUGCCAGAGAACUACUAGCCAUAGCUUAAAACUCAAAGGACUUGGCGGUACUUUAUAUCCAUCUAGAGGAGCCUGUUCUAUAAUCGAUAAACCCCGCUCUACCUCACCAUCUCUUGCUAAUU
RNAcentral lists this ribosomal RNA (341 nucleotides) under Mus musculus (house mouse). RNAcentral's name for it is "partial 12S ribosomal RNA". The record is from RNAcentral. Lineage: Eukaryota; Metazoa; Chordata; Mammalia; Rodentia; Muridae.